This 466-nucleotide ribosomal RNA is filed under the name uncultured bacterium. RNAcentral's name for it is "partial 16S ribosomal RNA". It matches the Rfam family "Bacterial small subunit ribosomal RNA", at positions 28 to 507 of the family's 1533-position model. The record is from RNAcentral.
GACGAACGCUGGCGGCGCGCCUAACACAUGCAAGUCGAACGAGCGAGAGAGAGCUUGCUUUCUCGCGCGAGUGGCGAACGGGUGAGUAACGCGUGAGGAACCUGCCUCAAAGAGGGGGACAACAGUUGGAAACGACUGCUAAUACCGCAUAAGACCACGACCCGGCUUCGGGUGGAGGGAAAAGGAGCAAUCCGCUGUGGGAUGGCGUCGCGUCCGAUUAGCUAGUUGGGGAGGUAACGGCCCAGCAAGGCGACGAUCGGUAGCCGUGCUGAGGGGUGGAACGGCCACGUCUGGAAUGCGGCACGGCCCAGACUCCUACGGGAGGGAGCAGUGGGUAAUAUUGCACAAUGGGGGAAGCCCUAAUGAAGCGACGCGGGGGAGAGGGAGAAGGUGUUCGGAUUGUAAAUUCGUGUGGGAGGGGAAGAUAGUGACGGUACUCAACAAGGAAGUGACGGCUAACUACGUG